GACGAACGCUGGCGGCGUGCUUAACGCAUGCAAGUCGAACGGAAAGGACCUGCUUGCAGCGUACUCGAGAGUCGAACGGGUGAGUAACACGUGGGAGAUAUGCCCCGCACUUCGGGGUAAGCCCGGGAAACUGCGUCUAAUACCGGAUAGGAGCCAUUCUUAGUGUGAUGGUUGGUAAGAAUUUUCGUUGUAGGAUGAGCUCGCGGCCUAUUAGCUUGUUGGUGGGGUAAUGGCCUACCAAGGGGGCGACGGGUAGCCGGCCUGAGAGGGUGGACCGGCACAUUGGGGAUGGGGAACGGGCCAGACUCCUACGGGGGGGAACAGUGGGGAAUAAUUGAACAUGGGGGGAAGCCUGAUGCAGCGGCGCCGGGGUGGGGAAGGCGGGCCUCGGGGUGGUAACUCUUUUCGAGAGGGGAGAAGCUUUUUGUGACGGUACCUAGAUAAGAAGCACCGGCUAACUACGUG
This 465-nucleotide ribosomal RNA is filed under the name uncultured bacterium. RNAcentral's name for it is "partial 16S ribosomal RNA". It matches the Rfam family "Bacterial small subunit ribosomal RNA", at positions 28 to 507 of the family's 1533-position model. The record is from RNAcentral.